RNAcentral lists this ribosomal RNA (254 nucleotides) under uncultured bacterium. Its description in RNAcentral is "partial 16S ribosomal RNA". It matches the Rfam family "Bacterial small subunit ribosomal RNA", at positions 524 to 776 of the family's 1533-position model. The record is from RNAcentral.
UACGUAGGGUGCAAGCGUUGCCCGGAUUUAUUGGGCGUAAAGGGUCAGUAGGCGGCUAUGUUAGUCUUCUGUCAAAUUCUUCGGCUUAACCGGGGGUCCGCAGGAGAAACGGCAUAGCUUUGAGGAUGCGAGAGGUGAAUGGAACUCUAAGUGUAGGGGUGAAAUCCGUUGAUAUUUAGGGGAACACCAAAAGCGAAGGCAAUUCACUGGCGCACUCCUGACGCUGAAUGACGAAAGCGUGGGUAGCGAAUGGG